RNAcentral lists this ribosomal RNA (468 nucleotides) under uncultured bacterium. RNAcentral's name for it is "bacterial SSU rRNA". It matches the Rfam family "Bacterial small subunit ribosomal RNA", at positions 28 to 497 of the family's 1533-position model. The record is from RNAcentral.
GAUGAACGCUGGCGGCGUGCUUAACACAUGCAAGUCGAACGGGAAAUAUUUCAUUGAGACUUCGGUGGAUUUGAUCUAUUUCUAGUGGCGGACGGGUGAGUAACGCGUGGGUAACCUGCCUUAUACAGGGGGAUAACAGUCAGAAAUGGCUGCUAAUACCGCAUAAGCGCACAGAGCUGCAUGGCUCAGUGUGAAAAACUCCGGUGGUAUAAGAUGGACCCGCGUUGGAUUAGCUGGUUGGUGGGGUAACGGCCCACCAAGGCGACGAUCCAUAGCCGGCCUGAGAGGGUGAACGGCCACAUUGGGACUGAGACACGGCCCAGACUCCUACGGGAGGCAGCAGUGGGGAAUAUUGCACAAUGGGGGAAACCCUGAUGCAGCGACGCCGCGUGAAGGAAGAAGUAUCUCGGUAUGUAAACUUCUAUCAGCAGGGAAGAUAGUGACGGUACCUGACUAAGAAGCCCCGGC